GUUAUGUGAUUGGCUAACGAAAUUUGCUUCAAAAUGGCGUGAGGAAGUUUGUGUGUGUUUUCUAUAAUCCAUUUUAAUUUGAUUCUCAGAAUGAGGAUCUUUGAUUUUAUACCCAUGUGUGAUAUGAUAUUGCAGUAUGGGAGAAGCAUCAGUGAAGACUUUGGUAUUACAAGUGUUGGAUGGAGUCAUUUCAGCCAUGUUCUGAGUUUUGUGUCAUCAAAUAUUCCAUCCUUUCUGCACACCAACUAUGGAGAUCCUGUAGGAUUUGAGGUUUUCACAGCAGUACUUCUGAGAGAAAAUUGCUCUUCAGAUUACUGGUGUAUGCAAGAAGGUGAUCCCCUGUCCAUAAUCUGAAAGAAGCCCAACCUCAGACUGAAUUAGGAGGAUCCAUGAAGUUUUGAUGAUCACCGCAUACAAACCGCAAGGAACCCCUGCAUGUGUCAUGGGUAAUGUGUAGAAAUUAAUAAUCAAGAGGCUGUCUUAUGUUUGCAUUUUAAUAAUUGACAGCCGUGAAGGUUUUCAGGUGUGUCCAUUUUGAAGAAAGAGUUUAAAACACCACAUGCUGGUUUUUUUGACACCUGUGUCACCUGGCAUGGCACACUACGUUCUUACGUUAUGAGUGGAGAAAUGUCUUGACCUCUUAACAUAAAAAGAAACUAUUCCAGAUGACCUCAGACUUUGCAGUCUUUGACAUUACGAGCUUCGCAAUUUAUAUUUUUUGUUGUUGAAUAUUAUCACGGUGAUUAAUCAGGUUUGAGAUGGUACGACCUGUGAUGUGUACCACUGUUAUAAUGAGGAUCUUUUUGGGGUUUGGGUAAUUUGUUCUUUUUAUAAUUUUGAUUUAUUUCAGGUCAGGGUUCAGCUUAUGGAGGGUGCCUAUAACCUUUGUAGCUAAAAAAUGGCAUAACGGAUUUGACUCCUCCCUCCAUCCAUCCAAUGGCUCUACAGCCCAUAUCAGGCCUUGACCUCAAUUUUAUGCCUCCAUGAUGAUCUAUUAUUUGCAGCCAUUUUCCAAUUUCGACAUCGGAUCAGACCGGCAGCAUCUCAUCUCACAGCAUCUUCCCAUCUUCCUCUAGGUCUUCCCACCAUUUUUGUCCCUUCAAACUUAGCAUUUAGGACUUUCUUAGGGGUUCUUGUGCCAUCCAUCCUUUGAAUAUGCCCCGCCCAUUGCAGUCUUUUUAAUUUAAUGCAUGUUACGAGAUCGGGGUCUUUAUAUAGCGCGUAUAACUCCUGGUUAUAUAUCGCCCUCCACUGGUCAUUGUCUUUAACUGGGCCACAAAUCCUUUGUAGUAUUUUUCUUUCACACACUCUCAAGGCAUUUUCUAAUUUCUGGGACAGCACCCAGUUUUCACAGCCAUACAUGAGGACAGUGCGAAUUAAGGUUUUAUACAGCAGUAUCUUCGUUUCCCUGUGUAUAUCUCCACUUUUCAUCACUGCCUUAUUGGCCAACAUUAGCGUUCUUUGGAUCUCUCUAUAUUCUUCAUUAUUACUGGUAAUGCAUGUGCCCAAGUUCCACCCCCUCAAUAUUAUGAUCUUGGAUUACCAAUUGUUCGUCUACUCUAUUCUGCUUACGCGUUUUGGAACAAGGCUUUAGUCUUAUUUUCGUUGAUAGUUAAUCCAAUUUCAUCGGCACUGAUUCUCAUGAUUUCAAAAAGGUCCUUCACAGAUUUUAAUGACCUGCCAAGGAAACGUGUAUGAUCUGCGUAUCCGACUAUUUGGCACAUCUUAAAUUCAAGAGUUCCGUCGACAUCUGUAGGCAGCUUUCUAAAUUAAACAGUAUUGGGGCUAGUCCAUCACCUUGUUCAAUCUUGAAAGGACUUGCGAGAUCUACUUGUAUCUUCACAUGUGCAUCAGUGUGAGUCGUAGUUGCUCUAACGAGCCAUAUCAGUUUGGGGGUUAUACCAAAUUCAUGCGUAAUAGAAUAGUUUAUUCCCCUUCUUCACUUCUUCUAUGGCUCUCCGGUCCGUAUUCGGUCCACAGACUCCUUAAUUCUCCUCUUCCAUUCGGUCCGUCUGUCCGAGGCUUUGAUUGAGGUUUCGAAACAUCUUCCUUUUUACGGUGCAAGGUUGUUGGUCUUGCGACCAACCCCCAACCUGGAGGACCAGGGUACCAGUCCGACCUCUCCCCCUAGGGAGGUCCUACCACUAGCUCUUGGGGUCACCGAGGUACUCAAGCCGCACCACCACGACAAGGUGCAGGUACCUUUAAGUGGGGGGACUGUGACUCAAGCUUAAUUCUUCCUUGUAAUUCACUAUUUUCAGCGACUUUACUACAUUUGGCGCUAGACCAAGUGUUUAAACUGACUGACGGUCUGCUGAAUGCCAUGAAUACCGUAGAUAUAAUUUAUUCUUCACAUUCAGAAUUGAUUUUAAUAAAAUUCUGAGCCUUGUCAUUCCGUUCAGUCGUGUCACGUACAGUGUCAGUCGACAGAUUCGAAUAGUUUUAGAACAAGAAUCUGAUGUUUGGUUUUCGGUGAUAACGUGCUCGAUUAACGGUUGCCCAGGAAAUUGGGGAAGGGACGAAGUGUGUGCGGACAGGUGUCUAUCUAUCUAUCUAUCUAGCGUACAAAUAUACUAUUCAAAACAACAAAGAGCAAGGGGUUUUAAAAAAAAUAGCCAUCGCCUACUAGAGUUUGCAGUAAUUUUCUUGAUUUAUCGAACAACGUAUGAAACUUGAAACCUCCAGUUGGCCAGUACCCCACUAUAUGGUACCUGUGCCUUGUCGUGGUGGUGGGGCUUGAGCACCUCAGUGACUUGAGUGGGAUUCGAACCCACGGUCCCAGCGACCAAGCGGCACAAGGCCCACGCCUCAGACCGCGCGGCCACUACAGACCCCUACUGGCUUAAAAAUAAGUAAAAAAAAUAUUAGCUUAAUUAUUUUUAAGAAAUAAUAUUUUUAGCUUCAGUAAGAUAAUAAAUUGUGUCGCAAGGAGUUAUUGCUGCGUCUUGUAUACUGUGUGUGGUGAUUAGAACUAAAGUGGUGUAAGUCGACAAAGGAAUAGAAGGAAUAUUUUAAACGUGUGUUUUUAAUUUAUUCACUGUAAUCAAUGAAAAUAUAAUUGUCCUACAGGGAAAACAAUUUCCUAGCAAGCGGAACAUUUGAUUUUUACAAGAAUUCAGCUCUGAGUUCAUAUGUAUCUGUAUAUAUGUAUAUAUGUGCUAAAAUGUAUUAGAGAGUAUAUGAGUGCGUGUGUAUAUAUAAAUAAAGAAUUCCCCUGUGUGCGUGAUAUUCUAGCUUCACUGGAGGAAAAAAAUUGCAAAA
This is a long non-coding RNA of Zootermopsis nevadensis, 3261 nucleotides long. RefSeq lists it as uncharacterized. The record is from RefSeq and is a predicted model, not a curated record. NCBI's taxonomy places the organism in Eukaryota, Metazoa, Arthropoda, Insecta, Blattodea, Termopsidae.